CUUGUCUUCGAAAUGAAAAUGGCCUUCUUAACUUCACUUUUUGCCUUUUGAACAAAUUUUUUUUUUCACAAAACCUUCACUAGGUGUACAACAGAAUUUAUUCUGCAAUAAACUUUGACACGACAUCUCUAUAGAAUAUAGACCAUAAUAGUGCCUUUAAGGGGCUCUAAGGCUUUCAAUCCAUGGCAUUAAGAUCUUGCAUCACUAUAUAUACGUACUCUUCUAAUCUUCUCUACCAAUUAAACAUCGGUCUAGCUAGUUGCGACAAAGAGUCAUAAUUAGAGGUGGGAUGUCAAAAGCAAAGAUCCUUCUUCUUAGCGAAGCUAAGGGAGUAGAGCGCCAUUUCAGCAAGCUUGCAGGAGCACAUAGACAAGAAAAAUCAAGACAAGCAGUGAGUAGUGGUGGCAAGAUUGAUGAUUCAUCAUGCUGGAUUCCACAUCCACGUACAGGGAUAUACUUCCCACAAGGCCAUGAUUGGGUUAUGGAUGAUGUUAGGGAAGGUGCGGCUUCUUUCAAUCAGAACUACUGGAUGAGGGAUGUUGAUGGUGUUGAAAAGCCAGAUGCUAGUAUUCCACCUGAUCAAUAUUACACAAAUUCUUAAUAUAAAUAUUUGUUUCAAUUUAAUAACAAUAUAUAAGAUGAGAACCAAGGAAGGCUUGCUUGGUGAGUAAUAGUGAACCUACUCUAAAUGUUUGAAAUAGUCUACAAUUUAUAAGAUGAGAACCAAGGAAGGCUUGCUUGGUGAAUAAUACUGAACUUAAUCUAAAUGUUUGAAAUA
RNA transcript from Quercus robur (English oak), 778 nucleotides. RefSeq lists it as uncharacterized. The record is from RefSeq and is a predicted model, not a curated record. The transcript has 2 exons. NCBI's taxonomy places the organism in Eukaryota, Viridiplantae, Streptophyta, Magnoliopsida, Fagales, Fagaceae.